Panthera uncia (snow leopard) is the source of this 2234-nucleotide long non-coding RNA. RefSeq lists it as uncharacterized. The record is from RefSeq and is a predicted model, not a curated record. The transcript has 8 exons. NCBI's taxonomy places the organism in Eukaryota, Metazoa, Chordata, Mammalia, Carnivora, Felidae.
GACUUUCUUAGGUCACCAGGGACCAGUUUGCUCUUGCAUACUUAAAGUUAUGCAAUUGGCAGUUAACGCCAGUGGGAGCAGCUCUCCAACAAGGAUCGACAGGCGCUGGUAGCUAAACCUCUUAGCGCUUUCAACCUUAAAAUGGGAUAACUCUGAGGCAUACGUUCUAUGCUGGCUCCCAGAGUUCCCCGAUGGGAUUAAGCUCCGAUUGACUAUAGUAGUAACUCGUGUGAAAACACACCCUCCAUCGACUGCCUUCUUUUCCCUGUCUCAUUCCCUCAAGCUCCAAAUGGUGCCACCUGGGAUCGUCUCCCAAGUAAUCUACUUGUACUCGAGAUCUUUGUGUCAGGGUCUCCUCGUGCGGGAACCCAAGCUAAGGCACGCGACUCUCUCCCCCACUUCCGGGUCUCUGUCUCUGCGGUUAAAACGAGACCGACCCCAUCCCCCAACUCCAGGGAUGGGCACAUGACUCGGAGCUGACCAACCACACCACCAUACCUCUUUGGCUACAGCGAUUGGCUCAGGGGUCGUCACGUGACCCCCAACCAGGCCAAUGACAGCUUCUUCCUGGACUUCUACCGAGACGAUUGGGAACAUGAACCUUUUUCUGCUGCGGUCCCCAAACCCUUGGGACGUUAGGUUGGGGGCCGGUGUUCUCUGAGGAUGAAGCCGCCUCCGAGGAUGCUGGUGCUGAGCUGAGGAAGCGAAAUCAGAUCCAGGUGGCCUUAUGUGCAUCCCUGGUUCCAGCGCAGUGUAUAAUUUUAAGUGCCGUCUAUUAGCCUGGUCCAUCCUGAGCUCUCCUGCUCCCCACAGGCAGGCCUAUUUCCCAUAGCUCCUCGGGUUUGCCCUCCCUAUCUGGCCCCUCAAGUGACAGGGUUUGCAGUCCCUGGGUUUGGCCGGGAAAUCGUUCUUGCCUGAGUGUUCUGAGUCGCUUUAGCAACAUCGUGGAGCAAGGGGAGUUACCAACGUUCAAGGUGGCGGAAUAACCUGUUUGAGAAAUCAACUACUUUUCAUUUCCUCAACUCCAGAGUCAUUGGGAAAGAAUGAAAGAACCGAAUUUUGUGGGACCAAGGAGCAGCGUGCAAGGCCCAGAGGAUGAAUUCUGUUUGGUCUAAGCCAGCAUGGGAAUCCUGUCUCCCUUUGACCUAGUCUUGGGGUGAGUCAGUACGUGGGCUAUAAGAGUGUCCCGAACGCCACUGCUAUGCCAGGACGGCAGGCCAUACCUCCACUGUGCUUAAAAGAGACGGACAGCUUCGUGAUCACGUCCACUAAACCCCACUGAGUGGACUCCCCAGUUCAGCUUAUUUUUAGCGGAUCCCUCCAAGUGCCCAAGGCUCUCCCAUGUCACCUGACACUGAGGUGUUACAGAAUCACAAGACGCUGUGCCCACACUGAAAGGGCUGUCCAGUUGAGGGGUGCUGAACACAUGCUUCAUCCACUUCUUGGCAGAUCUACCUCUGGGUUUACAGGAAAGCCAGGCAGGACUGGUUGUUGGACGGGAUGUAACAAAUGUUCUUGUGGCUUCCUGCUGGAAUGAGGCUCUGGUAGGAUGCUCCUCCGGGCCCUGCAGAGCCCCACCCAACAGCUGGGUCCUGUGCUCUGGCAAGCAGCCUCAGCCUUUCCCCAGAGGCAGGACUCGGUCUCGUCCCGAGGAAACAAAUUCCUGGCUGCUGGCACAGCUUCUGCAACUUGGCUCCCAUCUCUCUGUGGAUUGUCUCCUUCAGGAAGUGGCGGCUUAACCAUUCUGUUCCUCCAUUUCUUUACCUUAAUGCGCAUGAGACAAGGGCUCUGAGGCCCCGCCAGCCCCUCCACCGUGUGACUGAAUGGCUCCAUCAGUCUCUCCACCUGUCCAGAGACACGUGGAUUGCUGGAUGGAGUUAUUUGGGAGUGUUAACAGAUGAAAAAACCCAAAGUUCCAACGAACAAAACAACACCGGACUCUUUGAUGGGGGAGACUGGGCUUCAACCCAGAGGCCAGCCUCCAGAGCCCUUGGUCUUAACCACCGUGCUUCACACCUGCUUAUAGUCAACUGGAACAUAAAACAGAAGAAAUAAAGGCUUUCGCUUGGUCGAAGGAGCUCACGCGUGUGGUCUGGGGCCCCUGGGUGGCUCAUGUCAUGAUCUCGCGGUUUGUGAGUUCAAGCCCCGCAUCAGGCUUUUUGCUGACAGCUCAGAGCCUGGAGCCUUCUUCAGAUUCUGUGUCUCCCUCUCUCUCUCCGCCCCUCCCCUGCUCA